Molecule: ribosomal RNA, 435 nt
Filed under: uncultured bacterium
Lineage: Bacteria
Description: partial 16S ribosomal RNA
Rfam family: Bacterial small subunit ribosomal RNA
Source: RNAcentral
AGCGAACGCUGGCGGCAGGCUUAACACAUGCAAGUCGAGCGGGCACUUUCGGGUGUCAGCGGCGGACGGGUGAGUAACGCGUGGGAACGUGCCCUCUGGUUCGGAAUAACUCAGGGAAACUUGAGCUAAUACCGGAUACGCCCUUUUGGGGAAAGGCUUGCUGCCGGAGGAUCGGCCCGCGUCUGAUUAGCUAGUUGGUGAGGUAACGGCUCACCAAGGCGACGAUCAGUGGCUGGUCUGAGAGGAUGAUCAGCCACACUGGGACUGAGACACGGCCCAGACUCCUACGGGAGGCAGCAGUGGGGAAUAUUGGACAAUGGGCGCAAGCCUGAUCCAGCCAUGCCGCGUGAGUGAUGAAGGCCUUAGGGUUGUAAAGCUCUUUUAUCCGGGACGAUAAUGACGGUACCGGAGGAAUAAGCCCCGGCUAACUUCGUG